Molecule: long non-coding RNA, 2163 nt
Organism: Ornithodoros turicata
Lineage: Eukaryota; Metazoa; Arthropoda; Arachnida; Ixodida; Argasidae
Exons: 3
Source: RefSeq, a predicted model, not a curated record
UUCCUCAUACUUCUAGCGCUACUGGGCUUCACGAAAGCCGUACCAGAGUCAGCAGCUAGUAUCACACUGUGAACGAUAUCGGGGACCCCGUUGCUGGUAAGGCCAAAUACGAUCGUACACAUAUUGUUCGCCCUGAGAGAGUCAAGUUCGAGCAGUCUGCAUACGAGAUGGUCACCACGACGUCGCUUUGGCUUUUGACUUUCCUCUUCGCCGUACACCUGGCGUCAGCAGAGGAUGUCAUGGAUGACGCGGGGGACGAGAGAAAUGCGACCUCGCCGGCCACGCGGACGACUCUCGAGCGGCUCCAUGGGUCAACCUGCCAGGUGACAGAGAUGAGCUGGAACGUGCAGGGGAUUGGUGAACUAAUCCGUGCAGCGCAAGAGGAGAAAGGAAGUAGACACGAGAUCUUCAGCGGGCCCUUUGUAUUGAACGGGUACACGGUGUGCAUGUCCUUAGAUGCAUGGGGUUACGAUAUCUAUGUCUUCCUGGAAUUGUUUUUUAGUCUGUGCAAAGGUCCUGAUGACGAUUUCCUCGCAUGGCCCUUCAGGACUCCUUACACUCUUACCCUCUUACACCCAACGACGAGUAGGAUGGACAUCUCGCAGACAUACUCUGUAUUUUCACCUGAAGAGAUGCACCACUUCCAGAGACCAAAAAAGGGUUGCAACAUUAUGAAUGGAUUCCGCAUGAUGAUAUCAGUAUCGUCAGCUGAAAAGCAAGGCUACAUAGUGGACGAUGCCGUUUCUGUUCGCGUUAAGCUCAAUCUGUAAAUCAAGACAAGGGCGAUGAUUUCACGUUUGUUUACACCAUCGUUAGCUGGGCUACCCGUUCUUUUUUCGUACGCAUGCAUGCUUUCUCGCUUUGGGGCAGUUACUGACUUUCUUUUCUCUUCUUUCUUUUUCUGUGCUGUGCGAAGUUAGUCCUCGAACUACAAACCGCCGACGUGCCCCAACUCCCUCGUUCUAUUAACGGCGGUAUACCACUUUUAGAUCAAUCAAUCAAUAAAUAACAACUGUACUCAACACGCUCUUGAAUACGGGGGCGGGGGCAAUUUGUGAACAGUUGGGGUUUUUCGUGUCGCAUUUUUUUAUACACCGAUGUUCAUCUGGAAAGGCUGCCGGAAAACCCGGCGAAAAUCUCCCAGAACACAGCUGGUGGUAGGGAUUCGAACCCAACACCUACCACCAUUCAGCACGGCCUUGGCUAUGCCGGCAAGCAGUGGAUGUCUUUACCCGCAAAGCUAUCAAAUGUACAACCUACAUACGCAAAGGAAGCUGCCAUUUUCCUAAGACACAUGACGGAUGUAAUUAAAGCAAGUACAACUGCCAGGAUGCAUCGAUGAUAAGAUUGUCCAGAGCACACUUCCACCCUAGAACUCCAUGCUUCCUCACAUUUCUAGCGCUCUGAGAUUUACGAAAGCGGUCGCAGAGUCUGCAGCUAGUACCACACUUUGAACGAUAUUGGAAAAAGGCUAAAUACGAUCGCACACAUAUUCAUCUCCCCGAGAGAGUCAAGUUCAAGCAGUCUGCAUACGAGAUGGUCACCACGGCGUCGCUUUGGCUUUUGACUUUCCUCUUCGCCGUACACCUGGCGUCAGCAGCGGAUGUCAUGGAUGACGCGGGGGACGAGAGAAAUGCGACCUCGCCGGCCAUGAGUCCGGAGCCGCUCCACGGAUCAACUUGCAAGGUGACACAGGUGAACUGGCACGUCGGAAAUAUUCGCGAACUAAUUAGUAGAGCGGAGAAGGCAGCUCCAAACAGCAUCAAAUACUGGUACACCAGCAAACCCUUUGUAUUGAACGGAUACACUGCGGAAAUGACCUUCGAUGCAUUCAAUACCGGAGACGGUGUCUGGCUGGAUUUGUUCUUUGGCCUCUGCAAAGGUACUGCUGACGAUUUCCUCGCAUGGCCCUUCAGGACGCCCUUCACUCUCACCCUCUUACACCCAACGACGAGUAGGAUGGACAUCUCGCAGACAUUCUCCGCAUUUUCAACUGCCACGUUCCCGAACUUCAGGAGACCAAAAGAGGGUUGCAACAAAAUGCAUGCAUUCCGCAACAUUAUAACAGCUUCGAAAGCUGAACACGGAAGCUACAUAGUGGACAAUGCCGUUUCUGUUCGCGUUCAGCUCAAUCAGUAAAUAAAGACAAGAGUGAUGAUUUCA